AUUGAACGCUGGCGGCAGGCCUAACACAUGCAAGUCGAGCGGCAGAAGGGGGCUUGCUCCUGCAUUCAGCGGCGGACGGGUGAGUAAUGCCUAGGAACCUGCCCGGUAGUGGGGGAUAGCGUCCGGAAACGGGCGCUAAUACCGCAUACGUCCUGAGGGAGAAAGCGGGGGAUCUUCGGACCUCACGCUAUCAGAUGAGCCUAUGUCGGAUUAGCUAGUUGGUGGGGUAAAGGCCUACCAAGGCGACGAUCCGUAACUGGUCUGAGAGGAUGACCAGCCACACUGGAACUGAGACACGGUCCAGACUCCUACGGGAGGCAGCAGUGGGGAAUAUUGGACAAUGGGCGAAAGCCUGAUCCAGCCAUGCCGCGUGUGUGAAGAAGGUCUUCGGAUUGUAAAGCACUUUUAGUGGGGAGGAAGAGCAGUAAGUUAAUACCUCGCUGUGUUGACGUUACCAGCAGAAUAAGCACCGGCUAACUUCGUG
This 484-nucleotide ribosomal RNA is filed under the name uncultured bacterium. RNAcentral describes it as "partial 16S ribosomal RNA". It matches the Rfam family "Bacterial small subunit ribosomal RNA", at positions 30 to 507 of the family's 1533-position model. The record is from RNAcentral.